This 406-nucleotide ribosomal RNA is filed under the name uncultured bacterium. RNAcentral's name for it is "partial 16S ribosomal RNA". It matches the Rfam family "Bacterial small subunit ribosomal RNA", at positions 30 to 526 of the family's 1533-position model. The record is from RNAcentral.
AUUGAACGCUGGCGGCAGGCUUAACACAUGCAAGUCGAGCGAGCCGCGGACGGGUGAGUUAUGUCUGGGAAACUGCCUGAUGGUGGGGGAUAACUACUGGAAACUGUAGCUAAUACCGCAUACCAUCAGAUGUGCCCCGAUGGGUUUAGCUAGUCGGUGGGGUAAUGGCUCGUCUAGGAGACGAUCCCUCGCUGGUGUGAGAGGAUGACCAGGCACACUGGAAUGGAACCGCGGUCCAGACUCCAACGGGAGGCAGCAGUGGGGAAUAGUGCAUAAUGGGAGCAAGCCUGGUGCAGCCAUGCCGAGUGUGGUAAAAAGGCCUUCGGGUUGUAAAGCACUUUCAGCGAGGAGGCGUUACUCGCAGAAGAAGCACCGGCUAACUCCGUGCCAGCAGCCGCGGUAAUUC